CAAUAUCCGGAUCGACUAAAAUGCAGUCGAGAGUCUUCGGGACUCGACGAACUGCUCAGUAAUAUGUAGUUAACCUGCCCUAGACUCAGGGAUAAUGUCGGGAAACUGACGCUAAUACCUGAUAGGCAUCCUGGUCUGGAAUGAUAGGAUGCUCAAAGCCCCGGCGGUCUAGGAUGGGACUAUAUCUUAUCAGCCUGUUGGGGGUGUAACGGACCCCCAAAGCUAUAACGGGUACGGGCCAUGAGAGUGGAAGCCCGGAGAUGGAUUCUGAGACAUGAAUCCAGGUCCUACGGGACGCAGCAGUUGCGAAACCUUUACAAUGUGUUAGCGCACGAUAAGGGAAUCCGAAGUGCUGCAGCUAUGCUGCAGCUUUUGCCAAGUCCAAACAGCUUGGCGAAUAAGGGGUGGGUAAGACAGGUGCCAGCCGCCGCGGUAAUACCUGCGCCCCGAGUAGUAUCCGGUAUUAGUUGGCCUAAAGCGUCCGUAGCUGGUCCUGUAAGUUCCUAGUGAAAUUCACUGGUAGACUGGUGAGCGUGCUGGGAAUACUGCGGGACUUGGGACCGGGAGAGGGUAGAGGUACUCCUGGGGAAGGGGUAAAAUCCUAUAAUCCUAGGGGGACCACCUGUGGCGAAGGCGUCUACCUAGAACGGAUCCGACAGUGAGGGACGAAAGCUAGGGUAGCGAUCGGGAUUAGAUACCCCGGUAGUCCUAGCCGUAAACGAUGCCCACUUGGUGUUAAAAACCUUACGAGGGUUUUUUGUGCCGUAGCGUAGGUGUUAAGUGGGCCGCCUGGGGAGUACGACCGCAAGGUUGAAACUUAAGGGAAUUGGCGGGGGACCACACAAGGAGUGAAGACUGCGGUUCAAUUGGAGUCAACGCCGGG
RNAcentral lists this ribosomal RNA (883 nucleotides) under uncultured archaeon. RNAcentral's name for it is "bacterial SSU rRNA". It matches the Rfam family "Archaeal small subunit ribosomal RNA", at positions 28 to 922 of the family's 1478-position model. The record is from RNAcentral.